GUCACAUUUGUUUUGUUAUCAAACACGUAAUAAAGAAAAAGAAGAAACCAUGGAAACAAAGAAAAAAAAUCAUAUAAUGGUAUAAUGAAUGCGCUACGAAGUACCAAUUUUAAAAAUAGAUGCGGUGGUUGGUGCAUAUAUACACUAUACAGUCAGCUGGGAGCAGUAGCCUUUGCGACGUCUCGUGCUACUCCGUUUGUGGUUGCUAUUUAGCAACGGCCGGUGUAUAAACAUAGAUGGCUGCCCGUAAACGUCAAAUUUCCUCGGAGUAAUCUAGCGACGCCUUCUCGUGCGAUCAUGUGCCUGAGGAUAUUUAUCUUUUGCAUCUUACAUUAGAGUACAGUAAAUUGGCCAGCGCGAUUUGAUUAAGUGUGCUAGCCACCGUCAUCGGGAAGACAAUACUUUUUAGACAAUACUCUUCAUCGGGUCUAAGACGACAUCAGAAUUUCGAUUGAAAAUGGCAGAUGAUCCGAAUCGUGAUAUCUUGCCGGUAAAAGAAGGUUCCUGCGCGGAUACAAUCAACAGUGUCAUAGAUCCUAGGGAACGUCAUCUCGUUUGCAAGCUUGAUCGCUAUCAGCUGGAAGACAAGUAUCUACGCGUACUCGAUGAGAUGAACAAUCUGAAGAAAUUAUCCAACUGCCAGGAAGAUAAGAUCAAGCGGCUUGGAACGAAGUUGAUUAGACUAGCAGGCAAUCCAAGAUCAUGUGGACUAGCAUUAGAUAUCGCCGACGAUAGAACGACCGCUUUGGAGCUUGAAAAUACCAAGCUGAAGGAGAAAAUUGCCGUGAUGAGGAAUCAAUUGUUGAGUCACACGAUGAGCGGCAGAUCGUCGUCGCGCAGCCGUAAUCUCGUUAGACCAUCGUCUUCCGGGCUUGUGACGUGUCGAAGCGAGAAUAUCCGCGCGAGAGCGCCGUCCUGUCAAUGCAUCGUCGGUGCGGGGGACGAUAAUAACGACACACAAAAUUACCUCAUUAAAAUCGAGAAACUGGAAGUACAAAAGAAAGAUAUGGCAUGUCGUAUAAUGGAAUUAGAGAAAGAGUUAACGUUUUUGACAAAUAAUCAAAAGGAGAAGGUCGCGGAAAAUGUAGAGUAUAUACGAGUAUGGCGGCAAAUGAAGCAACUGAACGAUAAACUAAUGACGACUCAGGAAAAGAACACUGCACUGACCAGUGAAAUUAAUGACUUAAAAACAACUCUUGAACAAACGACAAGGAAUAAUCAGGAAAUCGCCGCCGUUCUUUCCUCGGAGAGAACGCGUAUGGCCGAAAUUGAUGACCAAAUGUUAAAGGCAAAGAAUUCACAAUUUACGUUACGCGAGAAGGAUGAGCAGAUACGGGAUCUUAUGAACGAAAUUAAAAUAUUACAACAACAUAAUAACGAACUUAUCGGACUCACUUCAAAAUACGGUCAAGUCGAAUUAGAGAAUGUUGAAUUAAAAAAAAGACUUUCUGAAGAUGCUCAAGAACAACAGAUUUUGAAGACUGCAUUCAAUAAUGAGCAGGCUAAUAUUGUAGCAUUAAAGGCGGCCAAUGAACAAUUGCUCGCAAAACUUCAAGAAUUGCAGGGAAACAUAGAUACCUUGAUGGUACAAUUAACGUCUUUAUAUACGCAAGAUAAAAUGCGCGACGGUAAACCAACGGUACCACCGUAUACGGAACAAUGUAGAAGAUGUUGCGAAAUGUAUGAUAAAAUUAUGCAGUCGGAAAAAACUGGUAAUAUUCGGGAAAAUUGGCAAUUAGUGGAUAAAUCGGUACAGACAAUCGUCGUUAGUAGCACCAGGGAACAGGGUACAAUGAUAAUUUCAAAUAAUGAAGGCAAAGCAUCAUUGAAGGAAUGGAAUACGACUCAGGAAACAAACGGCACGAAUGUUUUAUCCCGCGAAAAAAUACUAAAGCUGUUGGAUCAAGCACAGAUUAACACACCUCUGGAUGCGUCGAGGAUCGCUCCUAAGGAAGAAUACGCGAGCACUUUGGACGUAGCUCAGAGGCACAGCGAUAGCAGAAUAUCUUCUCAACAUGAUGCGUCAAACUCUGUACAGGAGAAUUCACAGAAAAGAUUUACAUAUUUAGAGAAUUCGAACAUAACUCUAGGUCAAAUGUUUUUGAUUUUAUUUGACGUUUUACAAGGACUUUUGUUUAAUGAUACCGAUAAAAAACCAUCUUUGAACUGUCAAGGAUCUGCGAUCAGGGAUAUGCUAAUUGACUCCAACAACAACAAUCUUCAUACGAUUAUUACUAACAAUAUUAAACAGCAUGAUUGUAGUACGGAAACAACAAAAAAUUUUGAAACUGAUUAUUGUGCGAGCUGUUUUCAUCCUACAUGUAAAAAGAAAUCUGCAACCAUCUUAACAAGAGAUAUUGAUUCAUCGAUGAAAAACACAUUUGAUGCUGCUUCCUUUCCUAUAACUCACGAGAAGUACAAAAAAUCGUCGUAUCGAGAUAUUAGUACAGAUUUCUGCCCAGAAAAGUCAAUAAAGUUAAAAAGAUUAAAACCGUCACGUUAUACCAGGUGUAAUUUAACGUGUCACUUGCGCAAAGUGAAAGAUCCAUUGUCCCUGCAGGAGAAACUUAAAUUACCCUGCAAAAUCGAAUGUUUAAAAGAUAGCGUGCAGUUACCAAAAUGCGCAAUGGAGUUUUCUCCUUUAUUAAUUACUGACAAGCAAGGUCUCAUUGAGAUUCAUAUUUCGCGAUUGCAACUUUCUACAUCGGUCGCGAAAAUCCCGGAUGAAGAAGAUAUAUGUAAUUUUUACAUUUACGUAAGCUGGGAUAUUUGGGACGAGAAGACCGCUUACACACCGAAAAUGAAAUGUCCCAAUUUGAUCUUUAAUUCGUCCUCUGUAUAUCGCAUAGCAGAUCUCUUCUCCUUCUUUGAGAAUGUACUGUCAGAUUAUCUCUUUUUCCGAGUGAACAUUGUUCGCCGAGAUAAUACCAACUACACGCUCGCUCGGGCGAAAGUCUCCAUCAAAGACAUCUUAGAUUAUCCACAGAACAAAUUGCAUUACAUUGUACCCGUGAACGGCAUUAUUCCUUCAUUUCUUGGUGUCAAUUUUGGGCAAUUGUCGUUGUGGGUUCGAUUGAGCUGCAACGUUGACAUGGUCAAAUCUUUUAAAAAACAAUACGAUAUAAACUCAUUGAAAGAUACUCUCCCUACGCCUCCAGUAAAGAAAGAUAUAACUGACGUAUCUCGAAAACCUCUUUUUCCACAUUCUACGAUUCCUCCACAUGUCAGUGACGUGAUGUCGAUCAAAGAUCAACAAAAGGAUAGUUUGGUGUUCCAAGAUUCAAUGGAUCAAGACACCCAAUCACUACUAGACUCAAGUUUUCAAUAUGAAAUUGAAAACUCGGAUGAUGAAAAUUCAAAUAAUGAAGAAUUGACUUUAUCCACCAAUGCAACAAAUAAAAUGUCUAAAGAAGAGAAUGGGAUGAUUACAUCUAGAUUCCAAAAUGUAUAAUAACAACGAGAAAAAAGAAAAUAAUGCUUCGAGGGACUCACCGAGCGUGACGGAGUUAAGGACAUUACUCGCGAAUGGCCGUGAAAAGGAUGCGAUAAUCAUAGAAAUAGUGAGCAUGCAGCUUUUAAAUGAAAGUUGCAUUAUGCAGGACGAUGAGAUACAGUUGCUUUAUAUAGAAUAUUCCUUUCUCGGGAAUUUUGGCGAAGAUAUG
Molecule: unclassified non-coding RNA, 3662 nt
Filed under: Monomorium pharaonis (pharaoh ant)
Lineage: Eukaryota; Metazoa; Arthropoda; Insecta; Hymenoptera; Formicidae
Description: intracellular protein transport protein USO1, transcript variant X4
Source: RNAcentral